AUUCAAGCAGAUCAUAUAUUUUAUAUUCAAUCGUAUAAACUCGGCGUUUGCACAACAUCAGGCACCAUCUCAAUAUUGUAAUAUGACAGUAGACUCGACAAGGCAAAUACUCCCCCUGCAACUGCUACUGCAAACAUAGCCAGCUUGUGACAUAAUAAUGCCAUCUUUGGCUGUUUUUCGUUCAUGGAUUCCGACGCCAUCGAACCUGAGAAUGCAAACAUGAGAGAAACAACAAAUCCUUGAAAGAGAAGAGGCUUUCUUGUGAAUAUCACAGUUGGUACUAAAUCUUCUUUUAUCCUCUCAAAUGGAAGCUGAAAAAUUGCAAUAGCUGUCAAAAAUGCAAUUCUGUAUAAAGCAUCUUGAGUGCUAGUUGUGCCUGUGGGAAGAAAUAGAUCAUCUUUGUUAUUCAAAGAUUGCUUUGUAGAGUAAUCAUCACUUGUUACAUCCAUCCUAUUGAAAAUCUUGUGAAA
Molecule: unclassified non-coding RNA, 470 nt
Filed under: Hevea brasiliensis (rubber tree)
Lineage: Eukaryota; Viridiplantae; Streptophyta; Magnoliopsida; Malpighiales; Euphorbiaceae
Source: RNAcentral